This 75-nucleotide transfer RNA is filed under the name Chloroflexi bacterium RBG_16_56_11. RNAcentral's name for it is "tRNA-Thr". It matches the Rfam family "tRNA". Rfam says of the family: Transfer RNA (tRNA) molecules are approximately 80 nucleotides in length. Their secondary structure includes four short double-helical elements and three loops (D, anti-codon, and T loops). The record is from RNAcentral. RNAcentral also lists the same sequence under 1 other name. Lineage: Bacteria; Bacillati; Chloroflexota.
GCCAGCGUAGCUCAGUGGUAGAGCGGCGCUUUCGUAAAGCGCGGGUCGGGGGUUCGAAUCCCUUCGCUGGCUCCA